RNAcentral lists this unclassified non-coding RNA (165 nucleotides) under uncultured Lachnum. RNAcentral's name for it is "sequence contains ITS1". The record is from RNAcentral. Lineage: Eukaryota; Fungi; Ascomycota; Leotiomycetes; Helotiales; Hyaloscyphaceae.
CAGAGUUCAUGCCCUUCGGGGUAGAUCUCCCACCCUUGUGUAUCAUUAUAGAAUGUUGCUUUGGCGGGCCGCGUGCCUAGCACGCCUGGAUUCGCGUCCGGCGCGCCCGCCAGAGGACCCCUAAACUCUGAAUGUUAGUGUCGUCUGAGUAUUAUUAAAUAGUUA